CCUACGGGAGGCAGCAGUGGGGAAUCUUCCGCAAUGGGCGCAAGCCUGACGGAGCAAUGCCGCGUGAACGAAGAAGGUCUUCGGAUUGUAAAGUUCUGUCCUUAUCGAAGAGAGGGUAUAGAGUGAAAAAUGAUAUACUAGGACGGUAGAUGAGGAGGAAGCCCCGGCUAACUACGUGCCAGCAGCCUCGGUAAUACGUAGGGGGCGAGCGUUGUCCGGAAUCACUGGGCGUAAAGGGCCGGUAGGCGGUAAUUUAAGUCAGGUGUGAAAGGUGGGGGCUCAACCCCGAGAGUGCAACUGAUACUGGAUAACGGGAGUGUGAGAGAGGGAAGUGGAAUUCCUGGUGUAGCGGUGAAAUGCGUAGAUAUUAGGAGGAACACCAGUGGCGAAGGCGGCUUUCUGGCUCAUAACUGACGCUGAGGCGCGAAAGCGUGGGGAGCAAACAGGAUUAGAUACCCGGGUAGUC
Molecule: ribosomal RNA, 466 nt
Filed under: uncultured bacterium
Lineage: Bacteria
Description: partial 16S ribosomal RNA
Rfam family: Bacterial small subunit ribosomal RNA
Source: RNAcentral